Molecule: ribosomal RNA, 520 nt
Filed under: uncultured Glomus
Lineage: Eukaryota; Fungi; Glomeromycota; Glomeromycetes; Glomerales; Glomeraceae
Description: SSU rRNA
Rfam family: Eukaryotic small subunit ribosomal RNA
Source: RNAcentral
AGCAGCCGCGGUAAUUCCAGCUCCAAUAGCGUAUAUUAAAGUUGUUGCAGUUAAAAAGCUCGUAGUUGAAUUUCGGGGUCAGUAGGUUGGUCGUGCCACCGGUACGUACUGGUCUCACUGAUUCCUCCUUCCUGAAGAACCGUAAUGCCAUUAAUUUGGUGUUGCGGGGAGACAGGACUGUUACUUUGAAAAAAUUAGAGUGUUUAAAGCAGGCUAACGCUUGAAUACAUUAGCAUGGAAUAAUGAAAUAGGACGAUCGAUCCUAUUUUGUUGGUUUCUAGGAUUGACGUAAUGAUUAAUAGGGAUAGUUGGGGGCAUUAGUAUUCAAUUGUCAGAGGUGAAAUUCUUGGAUUUAUUGAAGACUAACUACUGCGAAAGCAUUUGCCAAGGAUGUUUUCAUUAAUCAAGAACGAAAGUUAGGGGAUCGAAGACGAUCAGAUACCGUCGUAGUCUUAACCAUAAACUAUGCCGACUAGGGAUCGGAUGAUGUUAAUUUUAUAAUGACUCAUUCGGCGCCUUA